AACGAACGCUGGCGGCGCGCCUAAUACAUGCAAGUCGAACGAGAAGCUGUAGCAAUACAGUUGUACAGUGGCGAACGGGUGAGGAAUACAUGGGUGACCUACCCUCGAGUGGGGAAUAACCAGCCGAAAGGUUGGCUAAUACCGCGUACGCUUCCCAGUCUACGGGUUGGGAAGGAAAGCGAUGCCGUGGGUAUCGCGCUCAAGGUUGGGCUCAUGUCCUAUCAGCUGUUGGUGAGGUAACGGCUCACCAAGGCUUCGACGGGUAGCUGGUCUGAGAGGACGAUCAGCCACACUGGCACUGCGACACGGGCCAGACUCCUACGGGAGGCAGCAGUAAGGAAUAUUGCGCAAUGGGCGAAAGCCUGACGCAGCGACGCCGC
This 380-nucleotide ribosomal RNA is filed under the name uncultured bacterium. RNAcentral's name for it is "bacterial SSU rRNA". It matches the Rfam family "Bacterial small subunit ribosomal RNA", at positions 29 to 400 of the family's 1533-position model. The record is from RNAcentral.